GUGCCACCAAACUAUAAUGAGGGAGGAGAUGAAUGGAGUGUCAAAGUAAUCCCAAAGAGUGGAGCAAGCUGCAUGUCGUUACGCCAGUGUAGUGGUCGAAAUAAUCCUCCAUUGUGAAGGAAUGAGACCAUACGAUAUAUCUUCCAAAUGAUUCGUCUUGAUCUCAUGCGGAUACCCCUAUGCUUUGCAUCAUUUCUCUCUAUCCAUAGGAACCAGAAAAUUAGUAGAAGGAUAAUGAUGCAAAUGUGUCCACUCCAAGUAAGCUGUCCAGAGUAACGCCAUCGCAGAAAUCUUUGUCUGACGCUCUCGCCUACAAUUAUAGUAAUCUGAAAUAAGCAUCCAAAGUGCUGCUAAACCCGAUCUGAUAUAUGCUACCAGUAAAAAUAUGCGUAAUUGUCUCAAUCUCUAAACAACACUGACAUUGAGAAGCCAGCUGACUACCAACCCUCCUCUAAAUAAUAGUAUCCACAGGAAAUCCUGCCACAAUUUUCAACAGAGGAAUGAGACUUUGGUAGGUAUGGUAGGGUUCCAAAGGAGACGAAAUGAAUCCUGUGAUGGUUUGCUAGGACGAAUUAAUUGCCAUGCUGACUUAGUGGUAAAUCUACCAUCUGAUGUAGCCUUCCAAAAAAUACGACCUGGGACAUUGAUACAUAAUGGCAUGUCUGCAAUCUGUUCUUCCAUAAUUGGUGGAACAGCCUAUAUUAAUCGUCCAAAGUUCCAUCCAGUCCCCUCAAAAAAUUUCUGCACCCUCUCAGAUGCGUGUUGCCCAUGUGGGAGGAUAGACGCCAAAGAAUUAUCUCCCAUCCAAUAAUCAUGCUAAAAGAAAAUCUGACCACCCCCAAGUUGCCAC
This 850-nucleotide long non-coding RNA is filed under the name Olea europaea subsp. europaea. Lineage: Eukaryota; Viridiplantae; Streptophyta; Magnoliopsida; Lamiales; Oleaceae. The record is from RNAcentral.